CGGGUGAGUAAUGCAUAGGAAUCUACCUAGUAGUAUGGGAUAGCCACUGGAAAUGGUGGGUAAUACCGUAUAAUCCCUGCGGGGGAAAGAUUUAUCGCUAUUAGAUGAGCCUAUGUCGGAUUAGCUAGUUGGUGGGGUAGUGGCCUACCAAGGCAGUGAUCUGUAGCUGGUCUGAGAGGAUGAUCAGCCACACUGGAACUGAGACACGGUCCAGACUCCUACGGGAGGCAGCAGUGGGGAAUAUUGGACAAUGGGCGCAAGCCUGAUCCAGCUAUGCCGCGUGAGUGAGGAAGGCCUUAGGGUUGUAAAACUCUUUCAGUAGGGAAGAUAACGACGGUACCUACAGAAGAAGUCCCGGCAAACUCCGUGCCAGCAGCCGCGGUAAUACGGAGGGGGCAAGCGUUGUUCGGAAUUAUUGGGCGUAAAGGGCAUGUAGGCGGUUUGGUAAGUUAAAGGUGAAAUACCAGGGCUCAACCC
This 477-nucleotide ribosomal RNA is filed under the name uncultured Anaplasma sp. Its description in RNAcentral is "bacterial SSU rRNA". It matches the Rfam family "Bacterial small subunit ribosomal RNA", at positions 103 to 615 of the family's 1533-position model. The record is from RNAcentral. Lineage: Bacteria; Pseudomonadati; Pseudomonadota; Alphaproteobacteria; Rickettsiales; Anaplasmataceae.